GUUGAUCCUGCGGGAGGAUGCUGCUAUUUGGAUUCGAUUAAGCCAUGCAAGUCAGGUAGUAAUACCGGCAGAAUGCUCAGUAACACGUCAUUAACUUUACCUUAGGUCUGGAAUAACCUUGAGAAAUUGAGGAUAAUACCGGAUAAAGAAUUUGCUCUGGAAUGAGUUUUUCUUUAAAGAUUACGCCUAAGGAUAGGAUGGCGGCUGAUUAGGUUGUUGGUGAGGUAAAGGCUCACCAAGCCGAGGAUCAGUAGGGGCCUUGAGAGAGGUGACCUCGAGAAGGGUACCGAGGAACUGACCCUAGCCCUACGGGGUGCAGCAGGCGCGAAAACUUUACAAUGUACGAAAGUGUGAUAAGGGAAUCCAAAGUGCUAGUACAAUGUACUGGCUUUUUUUAAAGGUAAAAACUUUGAAGAAUAAGUGGUGGGCAAGACCGGUGCCAGCAGCCGCGGUAACACCGGCGCCACAAGUGGCAUCCAUAUUUACUUGGCCUAAAGCGUCCGUAGCCUGUUUGAUAAAUCUUGCGUGAAAUCGUCAAGCUUAACUUGACGACGUGCGUGAGAAACUGUCAAACUCGGAACCGGGAGGAGUCAGAGGUAUUCUUUGGGGAGCGGUAAAAUGCUAUAAUCCUUAGAAGACCACCUGUGGCGAAGGCGUCUGACUAGAACGGAUUCGACGGUGAGGGACGAAAGCCAGGGGAGCGAUCCGGAUUAGAUACCCGAGUAGUCCUGGCUGUAAACUCUGCGAGCUAGGUGUUGCGCAUUCUUCGAGAGUACGCAGUAUCGUAGCGAAGGCGUUAAGCUCGCCGCCUGGGAAGUAUGGUCGCAAGACUGAAACUUAAAGGAAUUGGCGGGGAAGCACUACAAGAGGUGCGGCGUGCGGUUUAAUUGAAUUCAACACCGGAAAUCUCACCAGCAGCGACGGCAGAAUGAAGGUCAGAUUGAAGGUCUUACCUAACAAGCCGAGAGGUGGUGCAUGGCCGCCGUCAGCUCGUGCCGUAAGGUGUCCAUUUAAGUAUGGUAACGAGCGAGAUCUGUGCUUACAAUUGCUAACAAGUUCUUUAGAAUGAUUGAGCACAUUGUGAGGACUGCCUUGGAAACAAGGAGGAAGGUGCAGGCCACGGUAGGUCUGUAUGCCCCGAAUCUGCUGGGCUACACGCGCGCAACAAUGGUAGGAACAAUGGGAUACAACUCUGAAAAGAGAAGUUAAACCUCGAAAUCCUAUCCAAGUUCAGAUCGAGGAUUGUAACUCAUCCUCGUGACGCUGGAAUCUCUAGUAAUCGGAAGUCAACAGCUUCCGGUGAAUAUGUCCCUGCUUCUUGCACACACCGCCCGUCAAACCAACCGAACAGGGUUUAGGUAAGGGUCAGUUUUUUUGACUUCCUCGAAUCUAAGCUCAGUGAGGUGGGUUAAGUCGUCACAAGGUA
RNAcentral lists this ribosomal RNA (1426 nucleotides) under metagenome. RNAcentral's name for it is "bacterial SSU rRNA". It matches the Rfam family "Archaeal small subunit ribosomal RNA". The record is from RNAcentral.